RNAcentral lists this ribosomal RNA (332 nucleotides) under uncultured bacterium. RNAcentral describes it as "bacterial SSU rRNA". It matches the Rfam family "Bacterial small subunit ribosomal RNA", at positions 568 to 898 of the family's 1533-position model. The record is from RNAcentral.
UGCGCAGGUGGCGAGGUAAGUCGGAUGUGAAAUCUCGGAGCUCAACUCCGAAACGGCAUUGGAAACUACCUUGCUCGAGGAUUGGAGGGGGGACUGGAAUACUUGGUGUAGCAGUGAAAUGCGUAGAUAUCAAGUGGAACACCAGUGGCGAAGGCGAGUCCCUGGACAACUCCUGACACUGAGGCACGAAAGCUAGGGGAGCAAACAGGAUUAGAUACCCUGGUAGUCCUAGCCGUAAACGGUGCACGUUUGCUGUAAAAGGAAUCGACCCCUUUUGUGGCGUAGCCAACGCGAUAAACGUGCCGCCUGGGAAGUACGGUCGCAAGAUUAAA